UACUGGUUAUCUUGAGUUGUAUUGAAGUAGGCGGAAUAUGUAGUGUAGCGGUGAAAUGCAUAGAUAUUACAUAGAACACCAAUUGCGAAGGCAGCUUACUAAGUACUAACUGACGCUGAUGGACGAAAGCGUGGGUAGCGAACAGGAUUAGAUACCCUGGUAGUCCACGCCGUAAACGAUGGAUACUAGCUGUUCGGGGCCUUGAGCUCUGAGCGGCUAAGCGAAAGUGAUAAGUAUCCCACCUGGGGAGUACGUUCGCAAGAAUGAAACUCAAAGGAAUUGACGGGGGCCCGCCCAACCGGUGGAGAAUGUGUUUUAAUUCGAUGAAACGCGAGGAACCUUACCAGGGCUUAAAUGUAGUCUGACAGCUUUAGAGAUAGAGUUUUCUUCGGACAGAUUACAAGGUGCUGCAUGGUUGUCGUCAGCUCGUGCCGUGAGGUGUCAGGUUAAGUCCUAUAACGAGCGCAACCCCUGUCGUUAGUUGCCAGCAUGUCAUGAUGGGGACUCUAACGAGACUGCCGGUGCAAACCGCGAGGAAGGUGGGGAUGACGUCAAAUCAUCACGGCCCUUACGUCCUGGGCCACACACGUGCUACAAUGGUCGGUACAGAGAGCAGCCACGUCGCAAGGGCGGAGCGAAUCUAUAAACCGGUCACAGUUCGGAUC
Molecule: ribosomal RNA, 665 nt
Filed under: uncultured bacterium
Lineage: Bacteria
Description: bacterial SSU rRNA
Rfam family: Bacterial small subunit ribosomal RNA
Source: RNAcentral